AGUGAACGCUGGCGGUAGGCCUAACACUUGCAAGUCGAACGGCAGCACAGUAAGAGCUUGCUCUUACGGGUGGCGAGUGGCGGACGGGUGAGGAAUACAUCGGAAUCUACUUUUUCGUGGGGGAUAACGUAGGGGAACUUACGCUAAUACCGCAUACGACCUACGGGUGAAAGCAGGGGAUCUUCGGACCUUGCGCGAUUGAAUGAGCCGAUGUCGGAUUAGCUAGUUGGCGGGGUAAAGGCCCACCAAGGCGACGAUCCGUAGCUGGUCUGAGAGGAUGAUCAGCCACACUGGAACUGAGACACGGUCCAGACUCCUACGGGAGGCAGCAGUGGGGAAUAUUGGACAAUGGGCGCAAGCCUGAUCCAGCCAUACCGCGUGGGUGAAGAAGGCCUUCGGGUUGUAAAGCCCUUUUGUUGGGAAAGAAAAGCAGCAGGUUAAUACCCCGCUGUUCUGACGGUACCCAAAGAAUAAGCACCGGCUAACUUCGUG
This 492-nucleotide ribosomal RNA is filed under the name uncultured bacterium. Its description in RNAcentral is "partial 16S ribosomal RNA". It matches the Rfam family "Bacterial small subunit ribosomal RNA", at positions 29 to 507 of the family's 1533-position model. The record is from RNAcentral.